GACCAGACUCCUACGGGAGGCAGCAGUGGGGAAUAUUGCACAAUGGGGGAAACCCUGAUGCAGCGACGCCGCGUGAGUGAAGAAGUAUUUCGGUAUGUAAAGCUCUAUCAGCAGGGAAGAAAAUGACGGUACCUGACUAAGAAGCCCCGGCUAACUACGUGCCAGCAGCCGCGGUAAUACGUAGGGGGCAAGCGUUAUCCGGAUUUACUGGGUGUAAAGGGAGCGUAGACGGCAUGGCAAGUCAGAUGUGAAAGCCCGGGGCUCAACCCCGGGACUGCAUUUGAAACUGUCAGGCUGGAGUGCAGGAGAGGUAAGUGGAAUUCCUAGUGUAGCGGUGAAAUGCGUAGAUAUUAGGAGGAACACCAGUGGCGAAGGCGGCUUACUGGACUGUAACUGACGUUGAGGCCCGAAAGCGUGGGGAGCAAACAGGAUUAGAUACCCCCGUACA
RNAcentral lists this ribosomal RNA (448 nucleotides) under uncultured bacterium. Its description in RNAcentral is "partial 16S ribosomal RNA". It matches the Rfam family "Bacterial small subunit ribosomal RNA", at positions 329 to 794 of the family's 1533-position model. The record is from RNAcentral.